RNAcentral lists this long non-coding RNA (1433 nucleotides) under Homo sapiens (human). RNAcentral describes it as "non-protein coding lnc-UXT-1:1". Lineage: Eukaryota; Metazoa; Chordata; Mammalia; Primates; Hominidae. The record is from RNAcentral.
GUCAAAUUUUACUUACAGCUUCUUAUACUAUGUUAAUUCUCAUACAGGUGAGAAAUUUUGUGAACCUAAUCAAUGUAGAAAAGUCCUCAGUGACAAAUUUGGAUGAAGAAUGUGUCCAUUCUUCAUCCAAAAUUUCUCACUGGGAGGAUAGCCUAUGUAGGCAAUGAAUGUGAAAAAGUCUUCCCUCAGAAGUCACACAUCUUCACACAUCAGACUUUUCAUUCUGGGGAAAAGCCCAACGAAUGCAGAGAAAAUGAGAACGCUUUCACCCAGUAGUCAAUAUUCAGUUUGCAACAGAGAAUUCACACCGAAGAGAAACCCUAUAUAUGCACUGAAUGUGGGCAGGCCUUCAUCCAAAAGACACACUUGAUUGCACAUCAGAGAAUAUAUAGUGGAGAGAAGCCUUUUGAAUGCUGUUACUGUGGGAAAGCCUUUCAUUCCAAAUCCCAAGUGAAUGAGCAUGGGAAAACCCACACAGGAGAAAAACCCUAUACAGGCACAAAAUGUGUGAAGGUCUUCUCCAAAAGAUCCAAUCUCCUUGCACACCAGAAGACUCAUACUGUAGAGAGCUUAUGUCUGUACUGAAUGUGGAAAGGCCUUUACUUACAAAUUGGUCUUGAUUACACAUCAAAGAUGAGAAACUUUAUGAAUGCGGCAACUGUGGGAAAACCUUUACUCAGAAGUCUCACCUCAACAUACAUCUGAAUUUUCACACUGGAGAGAAACCCAGUGUAUGUACCUGAACAUGAAAAAGCCUUCAACCAUAAGUCAAACUUAAUCACACAUUAAAAAGUUCAUGUUAGGGAAAAACUCAAUGAAUGCAGUGAUUGUGGGAAUUCUUUCAAGUCACAGCUCCAUGAGAAUCAACAAAGUCAUGCAGGAGAGAGACCCUAUGCAUGCACUAAAUGUGGGAAGGCCUUCAAAAAACCACAUCUCCUUGCACGUCAGAAAACUCAUAUUGGAGCAAAAUAUGUAUGUCCUGAGUGUGAGAAGGCCUUCACAUGCAAGUCAGUUUUGAUUACAUAUCAAAGAGAAUUUACACUGGAGAGAAGCCUUAUGAGUAGAGUGACUGUGGGAAAGCCUUCACACACACACACACACACACACACACACACACACACCACUAGCUUCAGCAGCAGCAGCAAAUUCACACAGGAGAAAAGCCCUAUGUAUAUACCGAGUGUGACAAGGCCUUCACCAACAAGUCAAGUUUGAAUAAGCACCAGAUUACUCUUUCUCCAGCUAAACCUUAUAAAUGCAGUGACUGUGGGAAAGGCUGCACCCAGAGAUUAGCUUUCAAUAUGCAUCCAAGUAUUCCUACCUAAAAGAAAAUCUGCAUGUUUCUUGAAUAUGAGAAAGCCUUCUCAGAGAAGUUGGAUCUAAGUGUAUGCUGUAGAAUGCCUGCAGCAGAAAAACCAUGUGAAUAUAUUCAU